RNAcentral lists this ribosomal RNA (1357 nucleotides) under Enterococcus durans. RNAcentral's name for it is "bacterial SSU rRNA". It matches the Rfam family "Bacterial small subunit ribosomal RNA", at positions 59 to 1389 of the family's 1533-position model. Lineage: Bacteria; Bacillati; Bacillota; Bacilli; Lactobacillales; Enterococcaceae. The record is from RNAcentral.
CAGUCGUACGCUUCUUUUUCACCGGAGCUUGCUCCACCGGAAAAAGAAGAGUGGCGAACGGGUGAGUAACACGUGGGUAACCUGCCCAUCAGAAGGGGAUAACACUUGGAAACAGGUGCUAAUACCGUAUAACAAUCGAAACCGCAUGGUUUUGAUUUGAAAGGCGCUUUCGGGUGUCGCUGAUGGAUGGACCCGCGGUGCAUUAGCUAGUUGGUGAGGUAACGGCUCACCAAGGCCACGAUGCAUAGCCGACCUGAGAGGGUGAUCGGCCACAUUGGGACUGAGACACGGCCCAAACUCCUACGGGAGGCAGCAGUAGGGAAUCUUCGGCAAUGGACGAAAGUCUGACCGAGCAACGCCGCGUGAGUGAAGAAGGUUUUCGGAUCGUAAAACUCUGUUGUUAGAGAAGAACAAGGAUGAGAGUAACUGUUCAUCCCUUGACGGUAUCUAACCAGAAAGCCACGGCUAACUACGUGCCAGCAGCCGCGGUAAUACGUAGGUGGCAAGCGUUGUCCGGAUUUAUUGGGCGUAAAGCGAGCGCAGGCGGUUUCUUAAGUCUGAUGUGAAAGCCCCCGGCUCAACCGGGGAGGGUCAUUGGAAACUGGGAGACUUGAGUGCAGAAGAGGAGAGUGGAAUUCCAUGUGUAGCGGUGAAAUGCGUAGAUAUAUGGAGGAACACCAGUGGCGAAGGCGGCUCUCUGGUCUGUAACUGACGCUGAGGCUCGAAAGCGUGGGGAGCAAACAGGAUUAGAUACCCUGGUAGUCCACGCCGUAAACGAUGAGUGCUAAGUGUUGGAGGGUUUCCGCCCUUCAGUGCUGCAGCUAACGCAUUAAGCACUCCGCCUGGGGAGUACGACCGCAAGGUUGAAACUCAAAGGAAUUGACGGGGGCCCGCACAAGCGGUGGAGCAUGUGGUUUAAUUCGAAGCAACGCGAAGAACCUUACCAGGUCUUGACAUCCUUUGACCACUCUAGAGAUAGAGCUUCCCCUUCGGGGGCAAAGUGACAGGUGGUGCAUGGUUGUCGUCAGCUCGUGUCGUGAGAUGUUGGGUUAAGUCCCGCAACGAGCGCAACCCUUAUUGUUAGUUGCCAUCAUUCAGUUGGGCACUCUAGCAAGACUGCCGGUGACAAACCGGAGGAAGGUGGGGAUGACGUCAAAUCAUCAUGCCCCUUAUGACCUGGGCUACACACGUGCUACAAUGGGAAGUACAACGAGUCGCGAAGUCGCGAGGCUAAGCUAAUCUCUUAAAGCUUCUCUCAGUUCGGAUUGUAGGCUGCAACUCGCCUACAUGAAGCCGGAAUCGCUAGUAAUCGCGGAUCAGCACGCCGCGGUGAAUACGUUCCCGGGCCUUGUACACA